Anoplophora glabripennis (Asian longhorned beetle) is the source of this 394-nucleotide long non-coding RNA. RefSeq lists it as uncharacterized. The transcript has 2 exons. The record is from RefSeq and is a predicted model, not a curated record. NCBI's taxonomy places the organism in Eukaryota, Metazoa, Arthropoda, Insecta, Coleoptera, Cerambycidae.
UAAUGUUUCAAGUAACACUCCAUAACCGACUAUUGGUUACAGUGUUAUUUAUUACGUUGUGCCACCUGGCUAAAUUUAAUCACUUUCGAUAGACCGUAAUUGUGCGAUGUAGAACAUAUGGAACCGAUGAUGGCAUGGCAGCAGGUUUACAAGUUGACAAUGCAUUUCAGUCAUGUAGGAUAACGAAUUGUAACAUGAAAAUUAUUCAAACAUAAUGGUUUUCUAUGUCUAUCGUCUAGUAUUUACAACACUUACAAUACUACAACAUUUAUUAUAUUAUUAGGUACCUAUCUAAGAAAUUUGUUAAUUUAUGUAAAAUGCAGUCAUCUGUCUGCAGUAAUUAUUAAUUAUUAAUGGGGUGUAUGUAUUAUUAAAGACCACAAAGAAUGAAAAA